UACGGAGGGUGCAAGCGUUAUCCGGAUUUACUGGGUUUAAAGGGUGCGUAGGCGGGUCUGUAAGUCCGUGGUGAAAUCUUCGAGCUUAACUCGGAAACUGCCAUUGAUACUAUAGGUCUUGAAUCAUCUGGAGGUGAGCGGAAUAUGUCAUGUAGCGGUGAAAUGCUUAGAUAUGACAUAGAACACCGAUUGCGAAGGCAGCUCACUACGGAUGUAUUGACACUGAGGCACGAAAGCGUGGGGAUCAAACAGG
Molecule: ribosomal RNA, 253 nt
Filed under: uncultured bacterium
Lineage: Bacteria
Description: partial 16S ribosomal RNA
Rfam family: Bacterial small subunit ribosomal RNA
Source: RNAcentral